This is a non-coding RNA of Arxiozyma heterogenica, 86 nucleotides long. NCBI's taxonomy places the organism in Eukaryota, Fungi, Ascomycota, Saccharomycetes, Saccharomycetales, Saccharomycetaceae. The record is from the annotation of a RefSeq genome assembly.
CUCUCGGUAGCCAAGUUGGUUUAAGGCGCAAGACUGUAAUAUUAAAAGUUAUCUUGAGAUCGGGUGUUCGACUCACCCCCGGGAGA